This 254-nucleotide ribosomal RNA is filed under the name uncultured bacterium. Its description in RNAcentral is "partial 16S ribosomal RNA". It matches the Rfam family "Bacterial small subunit ribosomal RNA", at positions 524 to 777 of the family's 1533-position model. The record is from RNAcentral.
AACGUAGGAGACAAACGUUAUCCGGAAUCACUGGGCGUAAAGGGUGCGUAGGCGGGUCUUUAAGUCAGGGGUGAAAUCCUGGAGCUCAACUCCAGAACUGCCUUUGAUACUGAGGAUCUUGAGUUCGGGAGAGGUGAGUGGAACUGCGAGUGUAGAGGUGAAAUUCGUAGAUAUUCGCAAGAACACCAGUGGCGAAGGCGGCUCACUGGCCCGAUACUGACGCUGAGGCACGAAAGCGUGGGGAGCAAACAGGG